This 535-nucleotide ribosomal RNA is filed under the name uncultured Brevibacterium sp. Its description in RNAcentral is "bacterial SSU rRNA". It matches the Rfam family "Bacterial small subunit ribosomal RNA", at positions 42 to 586 of the family's 1533-position model. Lineage: Bacteria; Bacillati; Actinomycetota; Actinomycetes; Micrococcales; Brevibacteriaceae. The record is from RNAcentral.
AGGUGCUUACACAUGCAGUCGAACGCUGAAGCAGAAGCUUGCCUUCUGGUGGAUGAGUGGCGAACGGGUGAGUAACACGUGAGUAACCUGCCCCCGAUUUCGGGAUAAGCCCGGGAAACUGGGUCUAAUACCGGAUACGACCAAUCCUCGCAUGAGGGUUGGUGGAAAGUUUUUCGAUCCGGGGAUGGGCUCGCGGCCUAUCAGCUUGUUGGUGGGGUAAUGGCCUACCAAGGCGACGACGGGUAGCCGGCCUGAGAGGGCGACCGGCCACACUGGGACUGAGACACGGCCCAGACUCCUACGGGAGGCAGCAGUGGGGAAUAUUGCACAAUGGGGGAAACCCUGAUGCAGCGACGCAGCGUGCGGGAUGACGGCCUUCGGGUUGUAAACCGCUUUCAGCAGGGAAGAAGCCGUAAGGUGACGGUACCUGCAGAAGAAGUACCGGCUAACUACGUGCCAGCAGCCGCGGUAAUACGUAGGGUACGAGCGUUGUCCGGAAUUUUGGGCGUAAGAGCUCGUGGUGGUGGCACGUUGG